This is a non-coding RNA of Pimephales promelas (fathead minnow), 546 nucleotides long. The record is from RefSeq and is a predicted model, not a curated record. Lineage: Eukaryota; Metazoa; Chordata; Actinopteri; Cypriniformes; Leuciscidae.
GCAUGUUAUGUUUUCUGUGUUUAGAGAAAAGAAAGAAAAGAAACUGAGCUUUUAAUUGCGAUAAAAACGUGAUUUAUUGUUUGUUGAAUUGAUGAAAAGUUUAUGCGAGCUGUUGGGGAGAAUGUUAUGUGACUGGAUGAGCUGUAUUUCAAGUCUGUAUGGUGUUAUUUCACAAAUCUCCAGCUGUCAACAUCCUGCCUCUCUGCCGACCCCCUUCUCUGUCCGAACGGAUUGUUUCCACGCCACUUGAGUGCUAUAGGCUACUUCACUGUCACACUUCAUCACAAAGAGGGAAGGAUGAGGGGAGAGGAGUGUGAUAAGCGCGGAAGGUUAGUCGCAUCAACUCCCCGCAUUGGUUGAGAAAGCCCGGAUUAUCCCUCAUUUCGCCCCGGGCUUUUGGCUGCCGAGUCGGGCUGGACCUGCAGGCCGAGCCGCUACUCACCGGCCCGAUCGGACCAGGUGUCCAAAUCCCUCAGGGACACGAACUAGUCACUCUCACCCUCCUUACAUGGUAUCUCCAUAAACACACACACGCAGAGAGAGAGA